Strigops habroptila (Kakapo) is the source of this 1284-nucleotide long non-coding RNA. NCBI's taxonomy places the organism in Eukaryota, Metazoa, Chordata, Aves, Psittaciformes, Psittacidae. The record is from Ensembl.
UUCUUUUUUUUUUUUUUAAUUUUUUUUUUUUUUGGGGGGGUGAUUUUGGAUUUCAUGCAAAACUGCUCUGAAACAAUGAGCUUCUUAAACACAGGCCAGGAAAACACGAGGACAAGCAAAAUGAAGAGUCGGAUGUCAGUUUUAUUUUUGAAUUUCUUGGCUUUUCUGCUGGUUUCUCCUGGCAUAAUUAAAACAUACUUUCCAGCAUUUCAUUUCCUACUUCUUUUGUAAAGAAAAAAAAUUUCCAUAGGAGGGAUUUUAGUUGGUUUUUUUUUUUCACUUCUUUUAUAAAACACUCUCUAUCAACUCCAGAUCCUGUGGCUCACACAAAUCUAGUAUUUACACAGGUUUAUGAUAAGGUCCGCCAUGAUAUUAUGAAUAUGCAUAAUUAACAAUAUUGUGAAAAACAGAAUUGCAGAUUUAGUGAUUUUGAUUUUUGUUUUUCCUUUAAACCAGCAAAACUAAAGUGCUUUUAAAGGGCUCAGCCAUGAUAUUUUUUUCACAAUUUCAAAAUCCUUUUUCUCUUUGACUCUUACUAUAAACCCUUCUUGGAGUUUGAAUUGAAAAUCUUUUAUUUUUCCAUAAUUUUUUUUCUUUUUUGCUUCCCCCCCCCCCCCCCCCCCCUUUUUUUUUUCUUUUUUAGGUCUAUUCUAUUCCUAUUAUUUUGCUGUUACGGGGGGCCUGUGAGUUCUGGACUGUGCAUACACUGGUUUAUUAUUGUAGGGUUGCCCUUGAAUACUGGGGUCUUGGUAUUGAUCUUUUUAAAAAUAAAUAACAAAAAAGCACUGAAACACGCAUUGUUUCAAGAAAAAAGCAAUAUAGGAGAGAGACGUGGCCUUUCCCCCCCAAAGUGGGGGAGGGAGAGGAAGGGAAAGAUUAGGUCAACAUUGAGUUUUACCAACCUUGACACAGUCUCCUCUCUAAAAUGGGGACAAAAUAGCAAGAUGGCUGGCUCACAGCUGCAGCAGUUUGGGCUUUUUUUGGUGUUUUUUUUUAAUUCUUCCCCCCCCCCCCCAAAAGGCAUUUUUAAAUUUUGAACUCAGAAGUGAGUUCCUGGAGCUGCCAGGCAGCAAAUGCUGAAAUCCAGGCGUUUAAAAGAAAAGAUUAAAUUUCAAUCCAGAAUUUAUUUUUAAAUCUGAAUCUCAAACCCCUAAAGUUUUUUUUUUUUUUUUUGAUGGUUGGUUUUUUUGGGUUGGUUUUUUUUUUUUUUUUUAAGUUUUGCUUUUUAUUUAACUGUAACUUGAUAAUUGCUGGAAAUGAGGCAGGAGUGGCUGGUGAAUUCAG